This 641-nucleotide ribosomal RNA is filed under the name Alexandrium ostenfeldii. RNAcentral's name for it is "eukaryotic LSU rRNA". It matches the Rfam family "Eukaryotic large subunit ribosomal RNA", at positions 69 to 661 of the family's 3401-position model. Lineage: Eukaryota; Dinophyceae; Gonyaulacales; Pyrocystaceae. The record is from RNAcentral.
AUGGGAUUCCUUAAGUAAUUGCGAAUGAACAAGGAACUGCUCAGCUUGAAAAUUGGGGCCUUCGGCCUUGAAUUGUAAUUUUGAAAUGUAUUGCCAAUGGAGGCGCAGGUGCAAGCCUAUUGAAAGAAAGCGUCAAUGAGGGUGAGAUUCCUUUUUGUCAUUUGCAGUCCUCCGUGCACGGUAUAUAUUUGACGAGUCACACUCCUUGGCAUUGGAAUGCAAAGUGGGUGGUAAAUUCCAUGUAAAGGAAAAUAUAUUAUUGAGACUGAUAGCAAACAAGUACCAUGAGGGAAAUAUGAAAAGGACUUUGAAAAGAGAAUUAAAAGAGUCUGCAUUUGCUGAACAGAAAGCAAACAGAAUUGAUCUACUUGGUGAGAUUGUUGCGUCCACUUGUGGGCGCAAUGGUUCUUGCCUUGAAUGUCAGCGUCUACUUCUGCAAAUUAUUACCCUUGCAUAUGAAUGGUAAUUUGCCUGUGGGCAUUGGAAUGCAUGUGUUUGCAAUGAUUUGUGAUUUGAUACAUGUGUCUGGUGUUCGUGUGUGUGCCUUCUUGCCAACAAGGGGAGGGCUCUCCUCCCUGGGCACUGCAAGCCCUUGCACAUUGUUGCUGGCAAAAUGUUUCUGCUUGACCCGUCUUGAAACA